This 74-nucleotide transfer RNA is filed under the name Bacteroidetes bacterium ADurb.Bin090. Its description in RNAcentral is "tRNA-Lys". It matches the Rfam family "tRNA". From Rfam's summary of the family: Transfer RNA (tRNA) molecules are approximately 80 nucleotides in length. Their secondary structure includes four short double-helical elements and three loops (D, anti-codon, and T loops). The record is from RNAcentral. Lineage: Bacteria; Pseudomonadati; Bacteroidota.
GACUCCGUAGCUCAGUUGGUAGAGCAAUUGACUCUUAAUCAAUGGGUCGAGGGUUCGAGUCCCUCCGGGGUCAC